Molecule: ribosomal RNA, 253 nt
Filed under: uncultured bacterium
Lineage: Bacteria
Description: partial 16S ribosomal RNA
Rfam family: Bacterial small subunit ribosomal RNA
Source: RNAcentral
UACGGAGGAUCCAAGCGUUAUCCGGAAUCAUUGGGUUUAAAGGGUCCGUAGGCGGUUUUGUAAGUCAGUGGUGAAAGCCCAUCGCUCAACGGUGGAACGGCCAUUGAUACUGCUAGACUUGAAUUAUUAGGAAGUAACUAGAAUAUGUAGUGUAGCGGUGAAAUGCUUAGAGAUUACAUGGAAUACCAAUUGCGAAGGCAGGUUACUACUAAUGGAUUGACGCUGAUGGACGAAAGCGUGGGUAGCGAACAGG